UCUGCUGCGGAACCCCGAAAGCUGAGGGACGGAGGUCAGUGACUCUGAGGUCUCGGGAACCCGGAGACGAGGGAAGACACCGUGUUCCUUAAGAGGGAGUAUACGUUUCCUCGCCAUUUAUCCAAUGGAGAUUCCUCUUACCUACUUAACAGGAACAGGGAAAGGGUGUCCCCCAACGAAAAGCACUUGGUUCUGCUUCGAGAUGGAAGGACACUUAUAGGCUUUUUAAGAAGCAUUGAUCAAUUUGCAAACUUAGUGCUACAUCAGACUGUGGAGCGUAUUCAUGUGGGCAAAAAAUACGGUGAUAUUCCUCGAGGGAUUUUUGUGGUCAGAGGAGAAAAUGUGGUCCUACUAGGAGAAAUAGACUUGGAAAAGGAGAGUGACACACCCCUCCAGCAAGUAUCCAUUGAAGAAAUUCUAGAAGAGCAAAGGGUGGAACAGCAGACCAAACUGGAAGCAGAGAAGUUGAAAGUGCAGGCCCUGAAGGACCGAGGUCUUUCCAUUCCUCGAGCAGAUACUCUUGAUGAGUACUAGUCUUUUGCCCAGAGGCUGUUGGCUCUUGAAGAGUAGGGGCUGUCACUGAGUGAAAGUGACAUCCUGGCCACCUCACGCAUUUGAUCACAGACUGUAGAGUUUUGAAAAGUCACUUUUAUUUUUAAUUAUUUUACAUAUGCAACAUGAAGAAAUCGUGUAGGUGGGUUUUUUUUUUUUAAUAACAAAAUCACUGUUUAAAGAAACAGUGGCAUAGACUCCUUCACACAUCACUGUGGCACCAGCA
This 778-nucleotide small RNA is filed under the name Pan troglodytes (chimpanzee). RNAcentral's name for it is "processed transcript". The record is from RNAcentral. Lineage: Eukaryota; Metazoa; Chordata; Mammalia; Primates; Hominidae.